Molecule: long non-coding RNA, 521 nt
Organism: Ictalurus punctatus (channel catfish)
Lineage: Eukaryota; Metazoa; Chordata; Actinopteri; Siluriformes; Ictaluridae
Source: Ensembl
GCACAGUAUUGUUUGAAUGUAAUGGUGAAUGUCUUACGCAUGCUAAGCGGUCUUCUUUUCGUGUCCUGUUCUGUUCCCUGCCUCGCAUCCAGUUUCUUGUUUUAACCUCGUUAAUCUUGCUCAGUAUAGACCGCGUUUCCUGUUUUUCGUCUGCUGUGUAAAAAUAAAGACGUUGAUCUGCACCUGCUCCCGCCUCACCUCCCUGUAUCGUAAGACAAACAGCAUAGCAGCAAUAUGUGAUUGGCAGCAGAAGAGCUGGAUUGGUGUCAAGUCAUUGUGGCUCAUGGGCAGUUAAUGGGUGACCAUCGGCGGCAACUCGCAGAGCUUGACACAAAGAUGAACCUCCUCUCCCAAGCCAUCACUAUAACUCCGGUUGCUUCAACCCCAGAGCCCAUCAUACACAGCAGUGUGGGAGCAGGGAGGUGACCAAUUACGUCAUAUGAGCACUUCACAGUGCCUUUGCUGCUUUUCAGUGCUGUUGCAAUCUUGAUUCCAAGCAGAUCCAGGAAGAUGAACAGGGG